This 765-nucleotide long non-coding RNA is filed under the name Helianthus annuus (common sunflower). Lineage: Eukaryota; Viridiplantae; Streptophyta; Magnoliopsida; Asterales; Asteraceae. The record is from RNAcentral.
AUGAGCUUCAUAUAGUGUUGUAAUCCUGGCUGGACUUGGAAUUGUUGCUGCCGCUAUAGGGGUUAAAGAACUUAUCUUUGAACCAAAUGACUUUGUGUCACGAUCGACUCACCGAUUACUCGAUAUGGUCAAGAAAACAGAAAUCGAGCAGCCCGCCAACGGAUUCCCAUUAGAGUUUGGAAAGAUGAUAAUGAUGGUGUUGAGCAUGUUGAGGUUAGUCUUAAUAAUUUCUAACUUCCAUAUAAAUCAUGUUUUAAGGGGCUUGAACCAACAACGAAAUCAUUAGAGCAAAUUUAUAAUAUUUUUUAUUGGCACCUUGUGAAGAAGAUCAGGAAACUUGCCAAUCUUAUUUGAUGAUGUGAAACAAGGAGAGAAAACACAAUCUUACGUUUCAGGAAUGGGGUUAUGGAUCCUCCGUUUAUAAUACCUCUAAGAACAAGUUUUGAAGUUAGCGGUGGUUCAAUGGUUUUAGGGUACAUAAGCAUCAAUUUUAAAAAGAAAUAACCAAUUGUUCAAAUAUGAAAGCGGGUGUGUGAAAAUUGAUUUGUUGGAACAAGUAAAACCAACGUUAUUUACAGGUGCUAGGAAGAGACCGGUUAAGCAUCUGGGAUUAGAAGGGUCGUAUAUUCCACAACCACGUUCUAAGGGUAUGUGAGGGUGGUUCUAUAUAACACGUUUGUAAACCUUAUACAUUUUUAUCAUUGAUUGAUGUUGCAAAACCACACUUUGCUACAUGAUUUUUGUUACUGUUCUCCCUAAUUGUUC